ACCUGGGUGGCUCAGUCGGUUGAGCGUCUGACUUCAGCUCAGGUCACGAUCUCGCGGUCCGUGAGUUCGAGCCCCACAUCGGGCU
RNAcentral lists this transfer RNA (85 nucleotides) under Felis catus (domestic cat). It matches the Rfam family "tRNA". From Rfam's summary of the family: Transfer RNA (tRNA) molecules are approximately 80 nucleotides in length. Their secondary structure includes four short double-helical elements and three loops (D, anti-codon, and T loops). The record is from Rfam by way of RNAcentral. RNAcentral also lists the same sequence under 1 other name. Lineage: Eukaryota; Metazoa; Chordata; Mammalia; Carnivora; Felidae.